Molecule: small RNA, 125 nt
Filed under: Citrobacter amalonaticus
Lineage: Bacteria; Pseudomonadati; Pseudomonadota; Gammaproteobacteria; Enterobacterales; Enterobacteriaceae
Also listed under: 6 other names
Description: RtT RNA
Rfam family: RtT RNA
About the family: This family represents a bacterial cis-regulatory element known as RtT RNA. The exact function of RtT is unknown although it is thought that it may be involved in changing the cellular response in relation to amino acid starvation.
Source: RNAcentral
UUGCUAUCUGCAAUUUAUAAGAUUCGAACCUGCAGCAGGUCGAGUCGAACGUAGUGAGACAACGGAGCCGUUUACGGCGACGGCCCGAAGGGCGAGCGAAGCGAGUCAUCCUGCACGACCCACCA